AGAGUUUGAUCAUGGCUCAGGACGAACGCUGGCGGCGUGCUUAACACACGCAAGUCGAACGAGAUCCAUUCAGUAGCAAUACUGAUGAAGAUCUAGUGGCGAACGGGUGCGUAACACGUGAGGAACUUGUCCCGGUCUCUGGGAUAACAGUUGGAAACGACUGCUAAUACCGGAUGACGUCGGAACUUCGCAUGGAGUACUGACGAAAGGGUUACUGGAUCGGGAGAGCCUCGCGGCCUAUCAGCUUGUUGGUGGGGUAACGGCCUACCAAGGCAUCGACGGGUAGCUGGUCUGAGAGGAUGAUCAGCCACACUGGGACUGAGACGCGGCCCAGACUCCUACGGGAGGCAGCAGUGGGGAAUCUUGCACAAUGGGCGAAAGCCUGAUGCAGCAACGCCGCGUGCGGGAAGAAGGCCCUCGGGUUGUAAACCGCUUUCAGAAGGAACGAAACUGACGGUACUUUCAGAAGAAGGUGCGGCCAACUACGUGCCAGCAGCCGCGGUGACACGUAGGCACCAAGCGUUGUCCGGAUUUAUUGGGCGUAAAGAGCUCGUAGGCGGUUCAGUAAGUCGGGUGUGAAAACUUUGGGCUUAACCCAAAGCGUGCAUCCGAUACUGCUGUGACUUGAGUACGGUAGGGGAGCGGGGAAUUCCUAGUGUAGCGGUGAAAUGCGCAGAUAUUAGGAGGAACACCGGUGGCGAAGGCGCCGCUCUGGGCCGAAACUGACGCUGAGGAGCGAAAGCAUGGGUAGCAAACAGGAUUAGAUACCCUGGUAGUCCAUGCCGUAAACGUUGGGCACUAGGUGUGGGUUCCAACCAACGGAAUCCGCGCCGUCGCUAACGCAUUAAGUGCCCCGCCUGGGGAGUACGGCCGCAAGGUUAAAACUCAAAGGAAUUGACGG
This 901-nucleotide ribosomal RNA is filed under the name uncultured bacterium. Its description in RNAcentral is "bacterial SSU rRNA". It matches the Rfam family "Bacterial small subunit ribosomal RNA", at positions 8 to 916 of the family's 1533-position model. The record is from RNAcentral.